AUUGAACGCUGGCGGCAGGCCUAACACAUGCAAGUCGAGCGAGCGGCGGACGGGUGAGUAAUGUCUGGGAAACUGCCUGAUGGAGGGGGAUAACUACUGGAAACGGUAGCUAAUACCGCAUACCAUCAGAUGUGCCCAGAUGGGAUUAGCGAGUGGGUGGGGUAACGGCUCACCUAGGCGACGAUCCCUAGCUGGUCUGAGAGGAUGACCAGCCACACUGGAACGGAGACACGGUCCGAACUCGUACGGGAGACAGCGGUGGGGAAUAUUGCAAAAUGGGCGAAAGCCUGAUGCAGACAGGCCGCGGGGGGGAAGAAGGCUUGCGGGUUGUAAGGCACUUUCAGCAGGGAGGCGGUACCCGCAGAAGAAGCACCGGCUAACUCCGUGCCAGCAGCCGCGGUAAUUC
RNAcentral lists this ribosomal RNA (406 nucleotides) under uncultured bacterium. Its description in RNAcentral is "partial 16S ribosomal RNA". It matches the Rfam family "Bacterial small subunit ribosomal RNA", at positions 29 to 526 of the family's 1533-position model. The record is from RNAcentral.